GAUGAACGCUGGCGGCGUGCCUAAUACAUGCAAGUCGAGCGAACAGACGAGGAGCUUGCUCCUCUGACGUUAGCGGCGGACGGGUGAGUAACACGUGGAUAACCUACCUAUAAGACUGGGAUAACUUCGGGAAACCGGAGCUAAUACCGGAUAAUAUAUUGAACCGCAUGGUUCAAUAGUGAAAGACGGUUUUGCUGUCACUUAUAGAUGGAUCCGCGCCCCAUUAGCUAGUUGGUAAGGUAACGGCUUACCAAGGCAACGAUGCGUAGCCGACCUGAGAGGGUGAUCGGCCACACUGGAACUGAGACACGGUCCAGACUCCUACGGGAGGCAGCAGUAGGGAAUCUUCCGCAAUGGGCGAAAGCCUGACGGAGCAACGCCGCGUGAGUGAUGAAGGUCUUCGGAUCGUAAAACUCUGUUAUUAGGAAAGAACAAAUGUGUAAGUAACUAGGCACGUCUUGACGGUACCUAAUCAGAAAGCCACGGCUAACUACGUG
RNAcentral lists this ribosomal RNA (497 nucleotides) under uncultured bacterium. RNAcentral's name for it is "partial 16S ribosomal RNA". It matches the Rfam family "Bacterial small subunit ribosomal RNA", at positions 28 to 507 of the family's 1533-position model. The record is from RNAcentral.